RNAcentral lists this long non-coding RNA (1035 nucleotides) under Coturnix japonica (Japanese quail). RNAcentral describes it as "lncRNA (ENSCJPG00005009361.1)". Lineage: Eukaryota; Metazoa; Chordata; Aves; Galliformes; Phasianidae. The record is from RNAcentral.
UUGCGCUCUCCGUUUCAGCCCCCACAGCGUCCCGCUCUACGCCUGCACUGCCAGUCCGUGCGCGAAGUGUUCGGUACGCACCCGCGGACCCACGGCCGCGGUCGCCGGGGUUGGGGUGCAAAGGGCACGGCGCGGGGAGGGUGGGGAAGGCCGUACAGCCGGCUCGGAGCAGGCACGGCGCUGCGGCGGACAGCGCGCGGUGCGUCGCGCCGAGGGGGGCCGAGGGCCGAUAGUGGGGUUCUGGUGCGGACGUCCCCGGGCUGGACGGGCGGUGCGCGGUGCCGUCGUUGUGCGGCUCUCCUUGCCGCAGCACGGCAUCCACCCGCACCUUCGCGUUUCCUUGUGAAGGUGGAGAGGUGUCUUCCCCCCUCCUUUUUCCUUCCCAGGAAUUCAUGCGUUUCCCCUCUCCCGCGAGCCGCAGCCGCGGAGGAGGAUGGAGAAGCGCGGUGGAAAUGUUCGUGGGCGCCCAGCACAAGGGCGGCGGGGCCCCGCGCGGCAGCACCGGGAGGAACCGCGCAUCCCCGCAGAAAGGGCCGGAGGGGCCGCCUAUCCCUGCGGCCGCUGGGCGACAACAGUCGCCUUCCUCUAGCCCCUUUCUCUUUACCCUCUCCUCCUCCACCUCCGCCACCGCCAAUGCCGCGGGGGCGCUCGGGGGGGCAACGGGCAACGACCGGGCUGCCGGGCACUCCCGGCCACUCGCCCCCGACGUGGGGCAGCGGGAGGGGGAGCGCGGGAGCGGCGCUCCGCCAUAUUCCUGUCUCACCACGCCCGCGUAGCCGAGCCAUUGAAAAGCCGGGCGAGCCCGGCCCCCGCUGCCUCCUCUUCCUCUCCGCCGGGUUCUGUCCGCCCGCCCCCUCUCCCGUCUUCCCUGUCAGGGUCGAGCCGUGCCGCGGUAGCUCAACGGCAGCGGCUGUCCCCGCCAGAGGGGCGGGCGAGGAAGCUCCCUCGCCGGGCGCAGCCGAGGUCGCUGGGCUCCGACUCCAGGGCGAGGGCAGCGGCCGGGCGAUGCCCGCGCGUAGGUUCGGCGGGCUCUAG